CGAGCGAGCUUGCCUAGAUGAUUUUAGUGCUUGCACUAAAUGAAACUAGAUACAAGCGAGCGGCGGACGGGUGAGUAACACGUGGGUAACCUGCCCAAGAGACUGGGAUAACACCUGGAAACAGAUGCUAAUACCGGAUAACAACACUAGACGCAUGUCUAGAGUUUGAAAGAUGGUUCUGCUAUCACUCUUGGAUGGACCUGCGGUGCAUUAGCUAGUUGGUAAGGUAACGGCUUACCAAGGCAAUGAUGCAUAGCCGAGUUGAGAGACUGAUCGGCCACAUUGGGACUGAGACACGGCCCAAACUCCUACGGGAGGCAGCAGUAGGGAAUCUUCCACAAUGGACGAAAGUCUGAUGGAGCAACGCCGCGUGAGUGAAGAAGGGUUUCGGCUCGUAAAGCUCUGUUGGUAGUGAAGAAAGAUAGAGGUAGUAACUGGCCUUUAUUUGACGGUAAUUACUUAGAAAGUCACGGCUAACUACGUGCCAGCAGCCGCGGUAAUACGUAGGUGGCAAGCGUUGUCCGGAUUUAUUGGGCGUAAAGCGAGUGCAGGCGGUUCAAUAAGUCUGAUGUGAAAGCCUUCGGCUCAACCGGAGAAUUGCAUCAGAAACUGUUGAACUUGAGUGCAGAAGAGGAGAGUGGAACUCCAUGUGUAGCGGUGGAAUGCGUAGAUAUAUGGAAGAACACCAGUGGCGAAGGCGGCUCUCUGGUCUGCAACUGACGCUGAGGCUCGAAAGCAUGGGUAGCGAACAGGAUUAGAUACCCUGGUAGUCCAUGCCGUAAAC
RNAcentral lists this ribosomal RNA (784 nucleotides) under uncultured bacterium. Its description in RNAcentral is "bacterial SSU rRNA". It matches the Rfam family "Bacterial small subunit ribosomal RNA", at positions 50 to 807 of the family's 1533-position model. The record is from RNAcentral.